Molecule: ribosomal RNA, 115 nt
Filed under: Rhodobacterales bacterium HKCCE4037
Lineage: Bacteria; Pseudomonadati; Pseudomonadota; Alphaproteobacteria; Rhodobacterales
Source: RNAcentral
UUUGGUGGUCAUAGCGAGAGCAAAACACCCGGCUCCAUUCCGAACCCGGCCGUUAAGUGCCUUUGCGCCGAUGGUACUGCGUCUUAAGACGUGGGAGAGUAGGUCACCGCCAAAC